This 163-nucleotide ribosomal RNA is filed under the name uncultured bacterium. RNAcentral's name for it is "partial 16S ribosomal RNA". It matches the Rfam family "Bacterial small subunit ribosomal RNA", at positions 355 to 509 of the family's 1533-position model. The record is from RNAcentral.
UAGGGAAUCUUCCACAAUGGACGAAAGUCUGAUGGAGCAACGCCGCGUGAGUGAUGAAGGGUUUACGGCUCGUAAAGCUCUGUUGGUAGUGAAGAAAGAUAGAGGUAGUAACUGGCCUUUAUUUGACGGUAAUUACUUAGAAAGUCACGGCUAACUACGUGCC